UCUUGGUCCAUUUAGAGGAAGUAAAAGUCGUAACAAGGUUUCCGUUGGUGAACCAGCGGAGGGAUCAUUACAGAGUUACUACUCCAAACCCAUUGUGAACCUUACCUAUGUUCUGUUGCCUCGGCGGCGCGGUCAGCGCCCGAAAGGACGACGGCCCCCGCCGGCAGCACCAAACUCUUGAAUUUUACAGCGGAUUACAGUUUUGAUUUGAAACAAAAAAAAAACAAGUUAAAACUUUCAACAACGGAUCUCUUGGUUCUGGCAUCGAUGAAGAACGCAGCGAAAUGCGAUAAGUAAUGUGAAUUGCAGAAUUCAGUGAAUCAUCGAAUCUUUGAACGCACAUUGCGCCCGGCAGUAAUCUGCCGGGCAUGCCUGUCCGAGCGUCAUUUCAACCCUCGAACCUCUGUUUCCUCAGGGAAGCUCAGGGUCGGUGUUGGGGCGCUACGGCGAGUCUUCGCGACCCCCGUAGGCCCUGAAAUACAGUGGCGGUCCCGCCGCGGUUGCCUUCUGCGUAGUAAGUCUCUUUUGCAAGCUCGCAUUGGGUCCCGGCGGAGGCCUGCCGUCAAACCACUAUAACUCCAGAUGGUUUGACCUCGGAUCAGGUAGGGUUACCCGCUGAACUUAAGCAUAUCAAAAGGGGGAAGGAA
Molecule: ribosomal RNA, 647 nt
Filed under: Scedosporium sp. OTU053 AN-2016
Lineage: Eukaryota; Fungi; Ascomycota; Sordariomycetes; Microascales; Microascaceae
Description: eukaryotic LSU rRNA
Rfam family: 5.8S ribosomal RNA (bases 233-386)
Source: RNAcentral